Molecule: long non-coding RNA, 1172 nt
Organism: Harpia harpyja (harpy eagle)
Lineage: Eukaryota; Metazoa; Chordata; Aves; Accipitriformes; Accipitridae
Exons: 3
Source: RefSeq, a predicted model, not a curated record
GGGGGGGGGGGUGAACCCUUCGGGGCCAGCCGCGGCGGCUCCCUAAAACCCGCAGGCUGGUUGCCAAGCGCAUGGGCCAUCCGUAGUACCUAUCCGAUAUUUAGGUCAGUAUGUUGUUACGCUCAAAGUUUUCCUCUGAAAUAAAAUAAAAGUUGCAAGGGAAGGUGUAGGGAACGGGGGAGCGAGGAGCGGCUUCUCGUGGGAACCCACCACGACAGUGCUGUUGUGGGUGCAGGGACAUGGGGAUAAGAAAUAAGCACAGCAUGAAAGGAGGGAAAGGCUGCUGCAGGGGCGAUGGGAAAACACUUCCAGCGCAGCUGGGUGGCAGGUCACGGAGCUGCGAAGGGAGGGCUCUGAGCAGUGGAAAGUUCAAUGCGCGAUGGGCACUGUGCAGCCUCGGUGUCUGCAGGAGCAGAGAUGCUGCCUCCACCUCCCUGAUGCCCCGCGGACCUUGCCGUACCCUCACACCACACAUUAGUGCUCUCUGUGCCCAAACAUCCCAGGAGCAGCCUACAGAAAGUGUGGCUGCUGGGCUACAGGCUAUGGCUGCUGGGUUACAAAGCUGCUAUUUCCAAUUUUUUCUGUGUGGCAGGGCAACACGGGAGCCCAAGAAGGCCCACGACCUUGUAAAAAACACGCUAAGGCUCCAGGCAUUUUUGGUGUCCUGGAAGAUUCAAAGAAGAUUCAGUCCAUCAGUGCUCCGUGACUUGGACUUGGAGGCCAGCAGAAGGCAGCCCCUUGCAAGAGCAGCUCCACAGACACUCCAGGAGGGGAAGCCAGAAGGGAACAGUUUUGCUGGCGUCUAUAGCUGCUUCCCACCCUGAGCCUCUGCCCCGGGAGUCCCUGAGGCAUCUGUGCUCCAUGAGGAUCUUCCAGCCCCUGUAGUAGGCGCCAGGAGCGUGUGUUGAAGGAUCCAAGCCUCCAGCAACCUGCAGCCAAAGGCCUUUCUCAGCCAAGGACAGCAACUUUGUAUUUAUGACUCUUGAUUGAUUUACCGCCGUUAAUUUGUCCUGUUGCUUUUAAACCCACCUCAACAGCAAGUAUCUUUACUGCCCUGCUGUCAGGAGCUCCCUACUAAACUGUGCAUUGUGUGAAGCCCUUUUCCUUGUUGCUCUUCUCUGAACCAUUUUUACACUAGUAAUCCCUAACUCCAGUUUUGCACGUUUAGACUG